This is a long non-coding RNA of Mercurialis annua (annual mercury), 709 nucleotides long. RefSeq lists it as uncharacterized. The transcript is spliced from 2 exons. NCBI's taxonomy places the organism in Eukaryota, Viridiplantae, Streptophyta, Magnoliopsida, Malpighiales, Euphorbiaceae. The record is from RefSeq and is a predicted model, not a curated record.
UUCACCGCUAUAUAUUAUAAAAAUAAAUUUGAUGAUAAAAUUAAUUAUUUUAUCACUAUAUAUUAUAUUUAGUGGUGUUGCAGUUAUCAAUAGUUCCCCACGUCAUGCCAUUACUAAUGUUUAUUUUUUUUAUUAAGAGCCACGACUACUUCAAACAAUAAAAGAAAACACACUAUCACUAUAAAUAAUUACUAAAAUUAAAUCAUACUUUUAAUCUCUCUAACAAACCUCUCUCGAUCAAAGCACGGUAACAACUCCAUCUUCAUCCCCACAACCGAUCUAACCUUCUUCAUUCCGAACCUAAUUUUUUUAAUUUUUUAUUUAUAUCUUGUUUAAUAGAUUGAGAAUCAAUAGAUCUUUGGCUUUCCAUGCAAUAAAGAACAUAAUGGUUAUGAACAAUCAUUUUCUUUGGCAAAGUUUUAAAUAGAAAUAAGAUCCAGGUUGUUUGCCUUAUGGGAAAGUUUGUUUCAAUUUUAAGCAGAAGUAUUUGAAUGAUUUGCUAUUAAGAUGGAAGUGACUGAUUUGACAAAGAAAUAACAAUAAAAUGGACAUCUCUCCCGGAUAAAUUAAGUUUUAUUUUAUUGUUUGCAUAUCUUGUUGUUGUUUCCGCAGUUUAUUAUUUUUAGGAUAUUAAAGAUGAAUACAUUUAUGAUUGUAUGUAAGAAAUUUUAUUAAGUAUUUAUCUAUCAUUUUUCUUUUGGAUGUAAAA